Molecule: long non-coding RNA, 1397 nt
Organism: Varroa destructor (honeybee mite)
Lineage: Eukaryota; Metazoa; Arthropoda; Arachnida; Mesostigmata; Varroidae
Source: RefSeq, a predicted model, not a curated record
AUAGCCUAAACAGUAGGUUGCACGUAGAUGUUGUCCCGUGACUACUCAUAGGACAUAACGUAAAAUUGGUGUCAGACUAGCAAUAAUCCGCCAAGUUCCACAGUUAGCUCUCCCAGCCAUCUCGCAGCCAUGUAAAGUUGAACGUCGAACGUGCUACGAACAUAACUGCAGCACCAUUUGAACUUUUCGUCGACCACAAACAGUCAUUGAAGAUAAAUGAAAUUUCAAGGACGGUUUUCUAUGAUUCGCAAUUCUGUGCUGAGUCGUAAACGUUUCUCGAACCUGGUUGGCCGAAAAUGCCGAUAUACGGUAACGAAUCAGCACCUACCGGGAAAAAGAUCAGAAGAACCACGAAGAUCAUGCUUGACCGUUGUUAAUAUAGCAUGACGGUUCUCUAUAGCUACACUAUCUAACUCCCCGAGCCCCAAUGGCGCUAAACAGUGGUUCAGACGGACGCGCCUCAGAUGGCCACAGCCCACUACGGUAUAACCAGUCCCAAGGAUGGCCAACCCAGCUGACGCCUCCGUGCCAUAUACCAUAAACACAUACACUGGCCUGUCAUUCACGUAAGGUCCAACUGACCCAACGUAGAUACAAAUACAGAAUUGAGACUUGCUGGCGCCAUGGUCACCACAGCUCAUCGAAGACGGUGAAAACAGGAUAUCACGAGAUUACUGAGUCUGACUACCGCCUGAAUAGUGUCUGCCUCUGAACGCCAUGUUGGCUGACCCACGAAACGGCAAUUUCAUCGUCGUGCACUAACAUCAAGAAUACAGCGCAGUGCGGGAAUGCAAGCUUUUGCCUUUAGCAUCGCCCUAACUAACAGUCGGGCUCUGUUCACGCAGUCUCGGCUGUCGGAAAUGAAUGCGACGCGUAUCCCCUAUACGUAUUCGUCAGUUCCCUACCCCCGCAGGAACCGCACAGGUACCCACUACCAACUACCCUCGAACUGGCCAGCUGCGACAGUCUCUGUCGCACUGAUGGUAACGGCAACGCAGGCGACAUCACGAACCUACCUCAAGAGAGGACAGCCACUAUUAGAACAUAAGUGCCAUGGCUUUAACGAAGUUUCCGGCAGCAACCACUAACGGCCAACGGCCGUUUUGUAGUUCUGUCUCCACCGCAGAUAUUGUAACGAGCACGUAACACGAUACAACGGUAAAUCGGAUGUUGUUCAGGGGAACUCACCUAGGAAGCGAAUCGUUACCGUUGCCAAAUAACGUACUUAUUACGGAAGUGACUGUUCAGUUGGCGAUAGUGAAGUACAACUGACAUAAUAAAGAAUGCUUGCAUAAUGGAAAUACAAAGGUGACGGUGCCUCGGAGAGCUCCAAGGUGCAAGAAUGCAGAACCUUGUAGCUGCCUGAACGUUUCGACUCAAUUAAAGAGAACUGAGAG